AACGAACGCUGGCGGCGCGCUUAAUACAUGCAAGUCGAACGAGAAGGUGUAGCAAUACACUUGUAAAGUGGCGAACGGGUGAGGAAUACAUGGGUAACCUACCCUCGAGUGGGAACACCAGCCGAAAGGUUGGCUAAUACCGCGUACGCUUCCGGGUCUUCGGAUUCGGAAGGAAAGUCAUACCGUGGGUAUGACGCUCAAGGAUGGGCUCAUGUCCUAUCAGCUUGUUGGUAGGGUAACGGCCUACCAAGGCUCCGACGGGUAGCUGGUCUGAGAGGACGAUCAGCCACACUGGCACUGCGACACGGGCCAGACUCCUACGGGAGGCAGCAGUGAGGAAUAUUGCGCAAUGGGCGAAAGCCUGACGCAGCGACGCCGCGUGGGGAUGAAGGUCUUCGGAUUGUAAACCCCGUUU
Molecule: ribosomal RNA, 415 nt
Filed under: uncultured bacterium
Lineage: Bacteria
Description: bacterial SSU rRNA
Rfam family: Bacterial small subunit ribosomal RNA
Source: RNAcentral